CCUACGGGUGGCUGCAGUGGGGAAUAUUGGACAAUGGGGGCAACCCUGAUCCAGCCAUGCCGCGUGUGUGAAGAAGGCCCUCGGGUUGUAAAGCACUUUCAGUGAGGAAGAACGCCUGGUGGUUAAUACCCAUCAGGAAAGACAUCACUCACAGAAGAAGCACCGGCUAACUCCGUGCCAGCAGCCGCGGUAAUACGGAGGGUGCGAGCGUUAAUCGGAAUUAAUGGGCGUAAAGCGCGCGUAGGUGGCUUGAUAAGCCGGUUGGUGAAACCGCGGGCUCAACCUGGGAACGGCAUCCGGAACUGUCAAGCUAGAGUGCAGGAGAGGAAGGUAGAAUUCCCGGUGUAGCGGUGAAAUGCGUAGAGAUCGGGAGGAAUACCAGUGGCGAAGGCGGCCUUCUGGACUGACACUGACGCUGAGGUGCGAAAGCGUGGGUAGCAAACAGGAUUAGAUACCCUGGUAGUC
Molecule: ribosomal RNA, 465 nt
Filed under: Vreelandella stevensii
Lineage: Bacteria; Pseudomonadati; Pseudomonadota; Gammaproteobacteria; Oceanospirillales; Halomonadaceae
Description: partial 16S ribosomal RNA
Rfam family: Bacterial small subunit ribosomal RNA
Source: RNAcentral